Molecule: ribosomal RNA, 844 nt
Filed under: uncultured Syndiniales
Lineage: Eukaryota; Dinophyceae; Syndiniales
Description: SSU rRNA
Rfam family: Eukaryotic small subunit ribosomal RNA
Source: RNAcentral
GCAUGUCUCAGUAUAAGUCUUUAUAUGUCGAAACUGCGAAUGGCUCAUUCAAACAGUUAUAGUUUAUUUGAUGGUCACCUGUUAUUUGGAUAACUGUGGUAAUUCUAGAGCUAAUACAUGCAUAAAAACGCGACUUCUUGGGAGCGUUGUAUUUAUUAGAUACAGAACCAAUCCGGCUUGCCGGUCUUUGGAUGAUUCAUAAUAAAUGAACGGAGCGUACGACUCGUGUCGACGCUGUGUCAUUCAAGUUUCUGACCUAUCAGUUUUCGACGGUAGGGUAUUGGCCUACCGUGGCGUUGACGGGUAACGGAGAAUUAGGGUUCGAUUCCGGAGAGGGAGCCCGAGAAACGGCUACCACAUCUAAGGAAGGCAGCAGGCGCGCAAAUUACCCAACCCUGACACAGGGAGGUAGUGACAAGAAAUAACAAAGCAGGCUAGAAUUCUAGUUUUGCUAUUGGAAUGAGUAGAAUUUAAAUCUCCUUACGACUAUCAAUUGGAGGGCAAGUCUGGUGCCAGCAGCCGCGGUAAUUCCAGCUCCAAUAGCGUAUAUUAAAGUUGUUGCGGUUAAAAAGCUCGUAGUUGGAUUUCUGUUGAAGACGGCCGGUCCGCUCUAUGAGCGUGUAUCUGGUACGGCUUUGGCAUCCUCGUGGGGAACGUAACUGUGCUUGAUUGCAUGGUACGGAAUUCACGACUUUUACUUUGAGGAAAUUAGAGUGUUCACGGCAGGCAAUCGCCUUGAAUACAUUAGCAUGGAAUAAUAAUAUAGGACUUUGGUUCUAUUUUGUUGGUUUCUAGAACUAAAGUAAUGAUUAAUAGGGAUAAUUGGGGGCAUUUGUAUUAACGC